This is a long non-coding RNA of Mauremys reevesii (Reeves's turtle), 392 nucleotides long. RefSeq lists it as uncharacterized. The transcript is spliced from 3 exons. Lineage: Eukaryota; Metazoa; Chordata; Testudines; Geoemydidae. The record is from RefSeq and is a predicted model, not a curated record.
GCACCACCUUAUCAAGCAGGUGCUUGGGGUGGCAACUCUGGAGCAGGGCGGCACUUUCAGCUUCUGUGGCAGAGAUGAAUUUUAUUAUGAAGGAAGUAAAUACAAACCCAAUUCUCCAAUGCGGCACUUGUGAGUCACUGGAGGACUGAAGGACAGGGGAGGGCUGCCUAGGCUGGGCUUUAAUAAAAGAAGUGGCUGAUAGGAGCUCUCGGACAAUCUCAUCAGUCCACUUCUCAAGCACCAAAAUGCACUGAAGAAAAAUCAGUGUACUCAGUCAGUGAGUUACAUGAUGGGGUGUCAACUACUUAACAAUUGCAGUGAUACUCAGACAUCAGUGAUUCAGGAGCUGAACUAGCAAUCAACAUUACCCAUAGAGAGAGAGAGAGAGAGAG